UUUAAACCAUCAGGACCAAGCAAGCCUUGGAGAAGACUGUAUGAAAACAUGCUUCUACUGGGAAUAUCAUGAAUGACUCAGAAUCCACACAGGAGAUUGGGACCUUCUGGGUCUCAAAACCUUCUAACCAGAAGCAGCUUGGGAAGGAAAGGGUUUGUUUGGCUUAAAUAUUAUAAAUUUAUAUUUGAGGAAGCCAAAACAGGAACUCGGGGCAGAAACCUAGAGGCACAAAAUGAAGUGGGGACCAUGGAAGGAAAACACUGCUUUCUGGCUUGCUCAGCCUACUCUCUUAUACAAACCGGGACCACCUGCCUAGGGGGUGACACCACCCACAGUGGACCUGGCUCUCUCACACAUCAAUCAUCAAGACAGUUCCCCACAGGCAUGCCCAAUCAUGCCAAUCUGAUGGAGGAAAUGUCUCAACUGAGGCUCCCUCUUCCCAAGUGACUCUGACUUGAGUCAAGAUGACAAUGAAAACUGAACAACACACCUGGAACCUUCUUUAUCUUAAACCUGGAGAAAAGGCGGCUACUGCUUGACUCUCUGAAAAUCCAGUGGACCAGCCUGCAGUGCACACAAGUUGCAGGUCUCUAUGUUUUAAGUUGAGAGAAGCAGACCAUAUCCAGUGUUCGAUUCCCACAGCCAUUCAGAUAAUCCAAGAGCUCUGAGGCUAAGCUGACUUUCCCGGCCACUGAAUGCUGCCACGAGAUAGGCUUGACCCAACUAUUAUUAUAAGUCAUUACGAUUCAUCCAGGACUUUUUGAACAUCUAUGUAUCCAAAAUAGAAAGAGGCUCAUUCACUGGCAUCCGAGAGCCGCACAGAUCUGGCUGUAACAAUAAGAACACAGCAUAAUUAAUGGUAUAGGUCAGCUGUGGUAAACAGGUCCUGUUUCUUCUGCUAAAUCCAGUCAGUCAUGAAUGGUUGUCUUGUGCAAUUCCGAGGUACAAUCCAGGGUCAAGGGCAGAGAAACUGAGAUUGCCUCACCAUGUGUGACAUGGCUUGGAGACAAGGACUAAUAUUACAAUUGGUCUGUACUGACGCCAACCUAGUGCAUGCUGGGUACUUCUCUGAGCACCAAAUGGUGGAAUUUGCAACCCAUGGCAGGAGACACACACUGAAAACAGCACACAUGUAUCUCCAGGGUACAACAACUAUGAAGAAAACAAAAGAGUUUGGGAAAGAGUGUACUCUCCAGCAAGUAGAGGGAAGGGGGACUCGAGUAGAGCUCUGAGCCCUGUGGAUUGCAAUUUGGGAAGGAUGUCUAAGAAACGGUGUAUCUCAAAGCAAAGAUUCGAAAGCUGGACAUGACCCGACACAGGCGCUGGAACGGACCGGAAGUGUCCACGUGCAGUACUUUGUGCAUCUCAAGUGACACCGCAACAGAGCUUUUAACUGCAAAGGUCUCUCCAAAUAAGCUGAGUGAGGUAAGUCACGUAAAUGUAUGCAGACAGAGCGUCCAGAGGCUGAGGAAAAAGCAUGCGCCAAAGCCACAGGCAAGAACGCACUUGAGAUAGCAGAAGUUUGUCGGGAGGACCGGAAGCGGGAGGACCGGAAGCGUUGGUGGGGGAGUUGGUAAAAGAACGUGCUGUACAGGAUCUCCGUAGCCAACAGGCACUCUUUGAAACCGAGACUUUGGCAGGGCCUGGUGACACGCCCCCUUCGUCCCAGCACUUGAGGGCAGAGGCAGUUGAAUCUAUGUUCCUACCAACAGGGUGCUCUGCACAAGCCCACCAAGGUCAAGCUACAAUGGGUUUGACCCCUAAAACCAUGAACAAACCAUGAGGCGACGCCUCAGCCCACCGGCACCGUAGUAAGAAGGAAACAUGAGGGGCAGGAGAGAUGGCUCCGCGGUUAAGAGCACCCGACUACUCUUCCAGAGGUCCUGAGUUCAAUUCCC
This 1898-nucleotide small RNA is filed under the name Rattus norvegicus (Norway rat). RNAcentral describes it as "uncharacterized LOC102554932". The record is from RNAcentral. Lineage: Eukaryota; Metazoa; Chordata; Mammalia; Rodentia; Muridae.